UGUAAACAAACGGCCUCAAUUUCUUAUGUAUGUUGGACCUCUAAACUAUAAUGAAUUUGAGGCAUCGUCCUAUCCGUUUCUUUAUUAUCUAUGCAUACAACGAAAACUACAAAAUACUUUAGUCUUUAAUACUACUACUUCUACUCGUGUCUCGUUUAUGGUUUGUAGUAUUUGCUACUGCCGGCCAAUUCGCACAGUGUCAUACCCCUAGAAGACAUCUAUUAGUUAUGAAAACAAUUUCAGCUUUGACCAUAAUGGAAUAGUACAAUAUACCAGGUAUAUUUUCUUAGUCAUGAUACUAACUAGUAUGAACGUCGAACACUAUGAUGGCAUGGGGUAUCAGAGGUUCCUCAUCAUCCUCAACCACAAUAAUUAUAAGCUAAUAGCUAUAGACAUGACUUCUGUAUACGCCUUACACUAUCAUAGUAUACCUUGUUACACAAACUUGCAGUACGUGAUACUAGCAAGUUAAAAGUCUAUGAAAAACUAUUGCUUUAUUUGUGGAAAAGAUGAAGAGUUUGUUCUCAAAUUGUAUUGGUGUUUAUUUAGGAAAGCAUUGAGAUAUUAUUGCAUAUUACUUGCAUUUAUUUGUAUGCCAACUGCCGAGUUACAUGAACAAUCACUAAUUGUUUAAUAAUAUAAUAGUGAGCGAUGAACAAAUCAAUACCAGCCAUAUAUUUUAUUAAAAUUCAGUGUUUUUUUUUUUUUUUUGGUCAAAAUGUUUCAGCAUAUUAAAAACAUUCUCUUGCGAUGGUUCUCAAUAUACAAGUAGUUAACGGAUAUAUUAUGUCUGUUUCUUCAAAAAUAAAUUAAUUUACAUGUACCAACUGAAAUACAGGUUUGUCAUCAAAUCAAAACCCACCAGAUAUAUUAAUACAAUCGUUGUUUUUAAAGAAAUGUUUGAGAUCCCAUUGCAUAGUGUCUGGAUUUGUUUGUAUACCGGUUCAACAAUCACUAAAAGUUAAAUAAUACAAUAGCAAGCUUAUUAACAAAUAAAAAUACCCAUCAAAUAUUUUAUUACAAUUGGUGUUGUUUUGGAAAGCCUUGAGUGAGGAGGUCUUCUUGAAAAUAAGGAUAUCAGUUAUAUCAAUUGAUGUAGAUUGAGCAAAAUCUAAAAAGAUCGCAAGACAUUUCUUACUUAUCAUCUCACACAAUUGUGUUAAAUAUAUUUAAAAUAAAGCACCAACUCCACAUAUUAUUAUGUUCAGAAAUGUUGUAUCAUGUUAAAACAAUUAUGACCUGUGAACUACCUAUCUAAUUUGUCAUGCUAAAAAUCUUUUAGAAAAAUAUCUUUAAGGUAUAUAAAUAUAUUAUAUAAUGUUCAUUUAAUGGAUUUUUUUGAUUCAUAUACAAUUUAAAAUUGUAGUUAUUAAAAAACAAAACCAACAUGAUAAAAUAGAAAAUAUUUAAAAUAAAUAAUUUCUCAAAUAACAAUUAAUUUUAUAUGUAUAUAAAUUAAGUUGUAUGCUCUACAGAUUUUCAAUAAUCAGUUAAUAGGCAGCUUACUGUUCAAAAACUUGAGAUAAAAAAUAAACAGGAUCGCCUUGACAUCCUAAUGAUGUGAGAAAAAAUGUACAAAUAAUUAUCCAAUCAUAUAACAUCCAUCGAUACUAAUGACUAAUGAAUUCAAGAAUGCUUUAAAAUGUAUAAACAAGUACUUAAAUUAAAUGGAAAAGAGUUUAGUUGAAGAUAAUAUUUAUUAUGAAGAAUAAAAAAUAAGUGAAUAUCAAUUAAAGAACAAGCUCGUUUAAGAAGACAAAACUUAUCAAAAACGAUUCAAAAAAAUAUGCAUGCUUUGUUUAGUGUUUACUGAUAACUUCUUAACAAAGUUUUCUUACAUAGGCUUCAAAGGAAAGAACAUUUGUUCUACCCUUUAAAUUUACGUAAACAGUGUUAAUUGGUUAUAAUAAAAUCCGUUUUUUUUUUGCCAUUACUGUUUUCAAAAAAUGUUUUAAUUAUACAAUAUGUUAUAAUAUGUAAUUAAACAAUAAAAAUAUCAAUUUUAUAUAAUAAUAUGUAUGUAUAGAAAAUAUAGGAAGUACAUAAAUAAUUAAUUACAAUAAACAAAUUAAUAUUCCCCUAAGAAUUUUACAACUGAUUUUCACUGUCUUAUGUACAGUUUUAUAUAAUAUUCGAAUAUUUUUUAUUCA
Molecule: long non-coding RNA, 2150 nt
Organism: Metopolophium dirhodum (rose-grain aphid)
Lineage: Eukaryota; Metazoa; Arthropoda; Insecta; Hemiptera; Aphididae
Exons: 8
Source: RefSeq, a predicted model, not a curated record